This 253-nucleotide ribosomal RNA is filed under the name uncultured bacterium. RNAcentral's name for it is "partial 16S ribosomal RNA". It matches the Rfam family "Bacterial small subunit ribosomal RNA", at positions 524 to 776 of the family's 1533-position model. The record is from RNAcentral.
UACGGGGGGGGCAAGCGUUGUUCGGAAUUACUGGGCGUAAAGGGUUUGUAGGUGGCUUGCUAAGUCAGACGUGAAAUCCCUCAGCUUAACUGGGGAACUGCGUCUGAGACUGGCGAGCUUGAGUGCAGGAGAGGAUGGCGGAAUUCCCCAAGUAGAGGUGAAAUUCGUAGAUAUGGGGAGGAACACCGGUGGCGAAGGCGGCCAUCUGGACGGAUACUGACGCUGAGACGCGAAAGCGUGGGUAGCAAACAGG